RNAcentral lists this ribosomal RNA (444 nucleotides) under uncultured bacterium. RNAcentral describes it as "bacterial SSU rRNA". It matches the Rfam family "Bacterial small subunit ribosomal RNA", at positions 355 to 822 of the family's 1533-position model. The record is from RNAcentral.
UCGGGAAUUUUGGGCAAUGGGGGAAACCCUGACCCAGCAACGCCGCGUGAAGGAUGAAGUAUUUCGGUAUGUAAACUUCGAAAGAAUAGGAAGAAUAAAUGACGGUACUAUUUAUAAGGUCCGGCUAACUACGUGCCAGCAGCCGCGGUAAUACGUAGGGACCAAGCGUUGUUCGGAUUUACUGGGCGUAAAGGGCGCGUAGGCGGCAUGACAAGUCACUUGUGAAAUCUCUGGGCUUAACCCAGAACGGCCAAGUGAUACUGUCGCGCUAGAGUGCAGAAGGGGCAAUCGGAAUUCUUGGUGUAGCGGUGAAAUGCGCAGAUAUCAGGAGGAACACCGGUGGCGAAGGCGGUGCUCUGGGCCAGUAUUGACGCUGAGGAGCGAAAGCGUGGGGAGCAAACAGGAUUAGAUACCCAGGUAGUCCCUGAGCGGGCUGGCAAGGCG